GUGAUAUAUUGUUAACUAAAAAUGUAAUUAAGGAUAUAGAAUGCUUAGCUAUUGAUUUAUAUAAAACUGAAUGGCAUAAUAAGUUGGUUUCGAAUGAAUAUGCCAAACUUCGUACUUAUAAAUUAUUUAAAACAGAAUUUAAGGUAGAAAAUUACAUUUGUAAAACUAUUGCAGGGAAAUAUAGAAGUGCUUUUGCAAAAUUUCGCUGUGGUGUUGCGCCCCUAAAAAAUGAAACGGGCCGGUAUCAGAACUUACCUAUUAAUGAAAGAAUAUGUUUUAGUUGUAAUGAUACCAUUGAAGAUGAGAAACAUGUAAUUUUGAAAUGUCCACUAUAUGCAGAUUUUCGUGCUGUGUUGUUUAGUAAUGCUAAUUCUUUCUGUCAUGAUUUUAAUAGUAUGUCAGAUGACGAUAAAUUUGUAUUUUUAUUUAGUGAUGAAAAUGUUUACUUUUA
Molecule: long non-coding RNA, 451 nt
Filed under: Mytilus galloprovincialis (Mediterranean mussel)
Lineage: Eukaryota; Metazoa; Mollusca; Bivalvia; Mytilida; Mytilidae
Source: RNAcentral